CAUCUUAGUACCCUCAGGAAAAGAAAUCAAUAGAGAUUGCGUCAGUAGCGGCGAGCGAAAGCGCAAGAGGGCAAACCCAGUGCUUGCACUGGGGGUUGUAGGACUGCAAUGUGCAAGAGCUGAGUUUAGCAGAACAUUCUGGAAAGUAUAGCCAUAGAGGGUGAUAGUCCCGUAUGCGAAAAACAAAGCUUAGCUAGCAGUAUCCUGAGUAGGGCGGGACACGAGGAAUCCUGUCUGAAUCCGGGUCGACCACGAUCCAACCCUAAAUACUAAUACCAGAUCGAUAGUGCACAAGUACCGUGAGGGAAAGGUGAAAAGAACUGAGGUGAUCAGAGUGAAAUAGAACCUGAAACCAUUUGCUUACAAUCAUUCAGAGCACUAUGUAGCAAUACAGUGUGAUGGACUGCCUUUUGCAUAAUGAGCCUGCGAGUUGUGGUGUCUGGCAAGGUUAAGCAAACGCGAAGCCGUAGCGAAAGCGAGUCUGAAUAGGGCGCUUAGUCAGAUGCUGCAGACCCGAAACGAAGUGAUCUAUCCAUGAGCAAGUUGAAGCUAGUGUAAGAACUAGUGGAGGACUGAACCCAUAGGCGUUGAAAAGCCCCGGGAUGACUUGUGGAUAGGGGUGAAAGGCCAAUCAAACUUCGUGAUAGCUGGUUCUCUCCGAAAUAUAUUUAGGUAUAGCGUUGUGUCGUAAUAUAAGGGGGUAGAGCACUGAAUGGGCUAGGGCAUACACCAAUGUACCAAACCCUAUCAAACUCCGAAUACCUUAUAUGUAAUCACAGCAGUCAGGCGGCGAGUGAUAAAAUCCGUCGUCAAGAGGGAAACAACCCAGACUACCAGCUAAGGUCCCUAAAUCUUACUUAAGUGGAAAACGAUGUGAAGUUACUUAAACAACCAGGAGGUUGGCUUAGAAGCAGCCAUCCUUUAAAGAAAGCGUAAUAGCUCACUGGUCUAGUGAUUUUGCGCGGAAAAUAUAACGGGGCUAAAGUAAGUACCGAAGCUGUAGACUUGCACACAACUUAGAUUAUUUAAGUUUAGAAUAUGAGAAACUAAGUUAUAUGUUUAGUUAUAUUUUUACUGAUUUUUAUAGAGUAAAGAUAGAAAUAAAACUUAGUAAAAUCAGUAAAAAUAUUCUUAGGCUAAAGUUAAGUAGUUUAAGUUGUGUGCAAGUGGUAGGAGAGCGUUCUAUUUGCGUCGAAGGUAUACCGGUAAGGAGUGCUGGAGCGAAUAGAAGUGAGCAUGCAGGCAUGAGUAGCGAUAAUUAAUGUGAGAAUCAUUAACGCCGUAAACCCAAGGUUUCCUACGCGAUGCUCGUCAUCGUAGGGUUAGUCGGGUCCUAAGUCGAGUCCGAAAGGGGUAGACGAUGGCAAAUUGGUUAAUAUUCCAAUACCAACAUUAGUGUGCGAUGGAAGGACGCUUAGGGCUAAGGGGGCUAGCGGAUGGAAGUGCUAGUCUAAGGUUGUAGGAGGUUAUACAGGCAAAUCCGUAUAACAAUACUCCGAGAACUGAAAGGCUUUUUGAAGUCUUCGGAUGGAUAGAAGAACCCCUGAUGCCGUCGAGCCAAGAAAAGUUUCUAAGUUUAGCUAAUGUUGCCCGUACCGUAAACCGACACAGGUGGGUGGGAUGAGUAUUCUAAGGCGCGUGGAAGAACUCUCUUUAAGGAACUCUGCAAAAUAGCACCGUAUCUUCGGUAUAAGGUGUGGUUAGCUUCGUACUAGGAUUUACUCCGAAAGCGAAGAAACUUACAACAAAGAGUCCCUCCCGACUGUUUACCAAAAACACAGCACUCUGCUAACUCGUAAGAGGAUGUAUAGGGUGUGACGCCUGCCCGGUGCUCGAAGGUUAAUUGAUGGGGUUAGCAUUAGCGAAGCUCUUGAUCGAAGCCCGAGUAAACGGCGGCCGUAACUAUAACGGUCCUAAGGUAGCGAAAUUCCUUGUCGGUUAAAUACCGACCUGCAUGAAUGGCGUAACGAGAUGGGAGCUGUCUCAAAGAGGGAUCCAGUGAAAUUGUAGUGGAGGUGAAAAUUCCUCCUACCCGCGGCAAGACGGAAAGACCCCGUGGACCUUUACUACAGCUUGACACUGCUACUUGGAUAAGAAUGUGCAGGAUAGGUGGGAGGCUUUGAGUAUAUGACGCCAGUUGUAUAUGAGCCAUUGUUGAGAUACCACUCUUUCUUAUUUGGGUAGCUAACCAGCUUGAGUUAUCCUCAAGUGGGACAAUGUCUGGUGGGUAGUUUGACUGGGGCGGUCGCCUCCCAAAUAAUAACGGAGGCUUACAAAGGUUGGCUCAGAACGGUUGGAAAUCGUUCGUAGAGUAUAAAGGUAUAAGCCAGCUUAACUGCAAGACAUACAAGUCAAGCAGAGACGAAAGUCGGUCUUAGUGAUCCGGUGGUUCUGUGUGGAAGGGCCAUCGCUCAAAGGAUAAAAGGUACCCCGGGGAUAACAGGCUGAUCUCCCCCAAGAGCUCACAUCGACGGGGAGGUUUGGCACCUCGAUGUCGGCUCAUCGCAUCCUGGGGCUGGAGCAGGUCCCAAGGGUAUGGCUGUUCGCCAUUUAAAGCGGUACGCGAGCUGGGUUCAGAACGUCGUGAGACAGUUCGGUCCCUAUCUGCCGUGGGCGUAAGAAGAUUGAAGAGAUUUGACCCUAGUACGAGAGGACCGGGUUGAACAAACCACUGGUGUAGCUGUUGUUCUGCCAAGAGCAUCGCAGCGUAGCUAAGUUUGGAAAGGAUAAACGCUGAAAGCAUCUAAGCGUGAAGCCAACUCUAAGAUGAAUCUUCUCUAAGCUCUCUAGAAGACUACUAGUUUGAUAGGCUGGGUGUGUAAUGGAUGAAAGUCCUUUAGCUGACCAGUACUAAUAGAGCGUUUGGCUUAUCUUUAAUAAAGCAU
RNAcentral lists this ribosomal RNA (2885 nucleotides) under Campylobacter jejuni. Its description in RNAcentral is "partial 23S ribosomal RNA". It matches the Rfam family "Bacterial large subunit ribosomal RNA". Lineage: Bacteria; Pseudomonadati; Campylobacterota; Epsilonproteobacteria; Campylobacterales; Campylobacteraceae. The record is from RNAcentral.